This 406-nucleotide ribosomal RNA is filed under the name uncultured bacterium. RNAcentral describes it as "partial 16S ribosomal RNA". It matches the Rfam family "Bacterial small subunit ribosomal RNA", at positions 30 to 526 of the family's 1533-position model. The record is from RNAcentral.
AUUGAACACUGGCGGCAGGCUUAACACAUGCAAGUCGAGCGAGCGGCGGACUGGUGAGUAAUGUCUGGGAAACUGCCUGAUGGAGGGGGAUAACUACUGGAAACGGUAGCUAAUACAGCAUACCAUCAGAUGUGCCCAGAUGGGAUUAGCUAGUAGGUGGGGUAAUGGCUCACCUGGGCGACGAUCCCUAGCUGGUCUGAAAGGAUGAACAGCCACCCUGGAACUGCGACACGGUCCUGCUUCCUACGGGAGGCAGCAGUGGGGAAUAUUGCACAAUGGGCGCAAGCCUGAGGCAGCCAUGCCGCGUGUGUGAAGAAGGCCUUCGGGUUGUAAAGCACUUUCAGCGAGGAGGCGUUACUCGCAGAAGAAGCACCGGCUAACUCCGUGCCAGCAGCCGCGGUAAUUC